GCGACGUAACGCAUCCAUAUAUAUAACUUUCAGCAACGGAUCUCUUGGCUCUCGCAUCGAUGAAGAACGCAGCGAAAUGCGAUAAGUAAUGUGAAUUGCAGAAUUCAGUGAAUCAUCGAAUCUUUGAACGCACCUUGCGCUCCUUGGUAUUCCGAG
This 156-nucleotide ribosomal RNA is filed under the name Neoporia rhizomorpha. RNAcentral describes it as "Perenniporia rhizomorpha 5.8S ribosomal RNA". The stretch from base 25 to 156 matches the Rfam family "5.8S ribosomal RNA", at positions 1 to 132 of the family's 154-position model. From Rfam's summary of the family: 5.8S ribosomal RNA (5.8S rRNA) is a component of the large subunit of the eukaryotic ribosome. It is transcribed by RNA polymerase I as part of the 45S precursor that also contains 18S and 28S rRNA. The record is from RNAcentral. Lineage: Eukaryota; Fungi; Basidiomycota; Agaricomycetes; Polyporales; Polyporaceae.